GAUGAACGCUAGCGGCAGGCCUAAUACAUGCAAGACGAACGGUAAGUUGAGUAGCAAUACUUGACCAAGAGUGUCGUAAGGGUGCGUAACACGUAUGCAAUCUGCCCUCAACAGGAGGAUAGCUCCCCGAAAGGGGAAUUAAUACUGCGUAAGAUUGUAGUUCGGCAUCGGACAGCAAUUAAAACCGAGGUGGUUGAGGAUGAGCGUGCGCAUGAUUAGUUAGUUGGCGGGUAACGGCCCACCAAGACGAUGAUCAUUAGGGGAACUGAGAGGUUGAUCCCCCACACUGGCACUGAGAUACGGGCCAGACUCCUACGGGAGGCAGCAGUAGGGAAUAUUGGACAAUGGUGCGAGCCUGAUCCAGCCAUGCCGCGUGCAGGAAGACGGCCUUCUGGUUGUAAACUAGCUUUGUCCAGGGAGUAAAAGUAACCUCGUGGGAAAGUAGUAAGGUACGUACGGUGAAGUAA
This 467-nucleotide ribosomal RNA is filed under the name uncultured bacterium. RNAcentral describes it as "bacterial SSU rRNA". It matches the Rfam family "Bacterial small subunit ribosomal RNA", at positions 28 to 489 of the family's 1533-position model. The record is from RNAcentral.